AUUGAACGCUGGCGGCAGGCCUAACACAUGCAAGUCGAACGAGUGGCGGACGGGUGAGUAAUGUCUGGGAAACUGCCUGAUGGAGGGGGAUAACUACUGGACACGGUAGCUAAUACCGCAUACCAUCGGAUGUGCCCAGAUGGGAUUAGCUCUUAGGUGGGGUACCGGAUCACCUAGGCGACGAUCCCUAGCUGGUCUGAGAGGAUGACCAGCCACACUGGAACUGAGACACGCUCCAGACUCCUACGGGAGGCAGCAGUGGGGAAUAUUGCACAAUGGGCGCAAUCCUGAUGCAGCCAUGCCGCGGGUGUGAAGAAGGCCUUCGGGUUGUAAAGCACUUUCAGCGGGGAGGCGUUACCCGCAGAAGAAGCACCGGCUAACUCCGUGCCAGCAGCCGCGGUAAUUC
Molecule: ribosomal RNA, 406 nt
Filed under: uncultured bacterium
Lineage: Bacteria
Description: partial 16S ribosomal RNA
Rfam family: Bacterial small subunit ribosomal RNA
Source: RNAcentral